UACGUAGGCAGCGAGCGUUGUUCGGAGUUACUGGGCGUAAAGGGUGUGUAGGCGGUUCUCUAAGUUUGGUGUGAAAUCUCCCGGCUCAACCGGGAGGGUGCGCCGAAAACUGGAGGGCUAGAGUGCGGGAAGGGAGAGUAGAAUUCCUGGUGUAGCGGUGAAAUGCGCAGAUAUCAGGAGGAACACCAAUUGCGAAGGCAGCUCGCUGGGACGUUACUGACGCUGAGACGCGAAAGCGUGGGGAGCGAACAGG
Molecule: ribosomal RNA, 253 nt
Filed under: uncultured bacterium
Lineage: Bacteria
Description: partial 16S ribosomal RNA
Rfam family: Bacterial small subunit ribosomal RNA
Source: RNAcentral